GACGAACGCUGGCGGCGUGCUUAACACAUGCAAGUCGAACGGUGAAGGGAUCAGCUUGCUGGUUCUGGAUGAGUGGCGAACGGGUGAGUAACACGUGAGUAACCUGCCCCCUUCUUCUGGAUAACCGCAUGAAAGUGUGGCUAAUACGGGAUAUUCUGGGUCUGUCGCAUGAUGGGUCUGGGAAAGAUAUUGUUUCGGUGGGGGAUGGGCUCGCGGCCUAUCAGCUUGUUGGUGGGGUGAUGGCCUACCAAGGCGGUGACGGGUAGCCGGCCUGAGAGGGUGGACGGUCACACUGGGACUGAGACACGGCCCAGACUCCUACGGGAGGAAGCAGUGGGGAAUAUUGCACAAUGGGCGCAAGCCUGAUGCAGCGACGCCGCGUGAGGGAGGGAGGCCUUCGGGUUGUAAACCUCUUUCGCCAGUGAAGCAGGCCUGCUCCUUGUGGGUGGGUUGACGGUAGCUGGAGAAGAAGCGCCGGCUAACUACGUG
Molecule: ribosomal RNA, 489 nt
Filed under: uncultured bacterium
Lineage: Bacteria
Description: partial 16S ribosomal RNA
Rfam family: Bacterial small subunit ribosomal RNA
Source: RNAcentral